RNAcentral lists this ribosomal RNA (243 nucleotides) under uncultured bacterium. RNAcentral's name for it is "partial 16S ribosomal RNA". It matches the Rfam family "Bacterial small subunit ribosomal RNA", at positions 111 to 354 of the family's 1533-position model. The record is from RNAcentral.
UAACGCGUGAGGAACCUGCCUUCCAGAGGGGGACAACAGUUGGAAACGACUGCUAAUACCGCAUGACGCAUCGAAGUCGCAUGGCUUUGAUGCCAAAGAUUUAUCGCUGGAAGAUGGCCUCGCGUCUGAUUAGCUAGUUGGUGAGGUAACGGCCCACCAAGGCGACGAUCAGUAGCCGGACUGAGAGGUUGGCCGGCCACAUUGGGACUGAGAUACGGCCCAGACUCCUACGGGAGGCAGCAG